RNAcentral lists this ribosomal RNA (253 nucleotides) under uncultured bacterium. RNAcentral describes it as "partial 16S ribosomal RNA". It matches the Rfam family "Bacterial small subunit ribosomal RNA", at positions 524 to 776 of the family's 1533-position model. The record is from RNAcentral.
UACAGAGGUCUCAAGCGUUGGUCGGAUUCAUUGGGCGUAAAGGGUGCGUAGGUGGUGGGGUAAGUCGGAUGUGAAAUCCCGGGGCUCAACCCCGGAACUGCAUUCGAUACUGCCUUGCUCGAGUACUGGAGAGGAGACUGGAAUUUACGGUGUAGCAGUGAAAUGCGUAGAUAUCGUAAGGAAGACCAGUGGCGAAGGCGAGUCUCUGGACAGUUACUGACACUGAGGCACGAAGGCCAGGGGAGCAAACGGG